Molecule: ribosomal RNA, 497 nt
Filed under: uncultured bacterium
Lineage: Bacteria
Description: partial 16S ribosomal RNA
Rfam family: Bacterial small subunit ribosomal RNA
Source: RNAcentral
GACGAACGCUGGCGGCGUGCCUAAUACAUGCAAGUCGAGCGAACAGACGAUGAUCUUGCUCCUCUGACGUUAGCGGCGGGCGGGUGAGUAACACGUGUAUAACCUACCUAUCAUUCUGGGAUAACCUCGAGAAACCGGAGCUAAUACCGUAUAAUAUAUUGAACCGCAUGGUUCAAUAGUGAAAGACGGUGUUGCGGGCUCUUAUCGAUGGAUCCGCGCUGCUUUAGCUAGUUGGUAAGGUAACGGCUUACCAAGGGAACGAUGCGUAGCCGAGGUGAGUGAGGGAUAGGCCGCACGGGAACUGUGACGCGGUCCAGGCUCCUGAGGGAGGGAGCAGAAGGGAAUGUUACGCAAUGGGCGAGAACCUUACGGAGCAACGCCGCGUGAGUGAUGAAGAUCUUCGGAUCGUAAAACUCUGUUAUGAGGGAAAAACAAAUGUGUAAGUAACUAUAGACGUCUUGACGGUAACUAAUAAGAAAGCAACGGCUAACUACGUG